This 498-nucleotide ribosomal RNA is filed under the name uncultured bacterium. RNAcentral describes it as "partial 16S ribosomal RNA". It matches the Rfam family "Bacterial small subunit ribosomal RNA", at positions 29 to 523 of the family's 1533-position model. The record is from RNAcentral.
AUUGAACGCUGGCGGCAUGCCUUACACAUGCAAGUCGAACGGUAACGCGGGGCAACCUGGCGACGAGUGGCGAACGGGUGAGUAAUGUAUCGGAGCGCGCCCAGUAGUGGGGGAUAGCCCGGCGAAAGCCGGAUUAAUACCGCAUACGACCUACGGGUGAAAGGGGGGGAUCGCAAGACCUCUCGCUAUUGGAGCGGCCGAUAUCAGAUUAGGUAGUUGGUGGGGUAAAGGCCCACCAAGCCGACGAUCUGUAGCUGGUCUGAGAGGACGACCAGCCACACUGGGACUGAGACACGGCCCAGACUCCUACGGGAGGCAGCAGUGGGGAAUUUUGGACAAUGGGCGCAAGCCUGAUCCAGCCAUGCCGCGUGCGGGAAGAAGGCCUUCGGGUUGUAAACCGCUUUUGUCAGGGAAGAAAUCCCUUGGGUUAAUACCUCGGGGGGAUGACGGUACCUGAAGAAUAAGCACCGGCUAACUACGUGCCAGCCGCCGCGGUAA